GGUCGCAGGUUCGAAUCCUGCACGACCCACCAAUUUAACAUCAAACUCAGAUGUUGAACGUGAAGGAUAACGUUGCGUCAGCAACGGCCCGUAGGGCGAGGCGAAGCCGAGUCAUCCUGCACGACCCACCA
RNAcentral lists this small RNA (131 nucleotides) under Salmonella enterica. RNAcentral describes it as "partial RtT sRNA". It matches the Rfam family "RtT RNA", at positions 34 to 130 of the family's 130-position model. Rfam says of the family: This family represents a bacterial cis-regulatory element known as RtT RNA. The exact function of RtT is unknown although it is thought that it may be involved in changing the cellular response in relation to amino acid starvation. The record is from RNAcentral. Lineage: Bacteria; Pseudomonadati; Pseudomonadota; Gammaproteobacteria; Enterobacterales; Enterobacteriaceae. RNAcentral also lists the same sequence under 2 other names.